Ictalurus punctatus (channel catfish) is the source of this 2009-nucleotide long non-coding RNA. Lineage: Eukaryota; Metazoa; Chordata; Actinopteri; Siluriformes; Ictaluridae. The record is from Ensembl.
CUCCUGCUGCUUAAGUAUUUACAACUAUCUGUCUAUCUAUCUAUCUAUUUAUUCAUUUAUUUAUUUUUCUAUAAAUAAAUCGACUCGAGUUCUUUCUAAUUUUGGUGGGAAAAAAACACUAGCUGGCCAGCGCCCAGAGUACGCUUCCUAGAAAGAAGACUGAAAAGGGAAAUGGAGUGUGCGCAUGCGCACUGCCCAAUCAGAGCAUGCGGCAGGAGCAUUUAUCAGUUCCCGACAUUCCAGAAGGUCUUCCGUUGUUUUUGUGGAUUAAUCGGAUUUUAUUCUUCACCAUGCGCGCGAUCAUGAAGCUCCUCAUCUGCUGUGUGUUCAUGCUGUUCCUGGUGAACGUAGUUCCAGCUGCAGGUUCUACCACAGAACUCCUGUCAUGCUGCUUUCAGCAGCUUGGUAAUAGAUCAGUGGUGUACAUACUGAACAACACCGUGGAGUCCGAUUUCACACAGUGGACCAGAAACAAGACACCCAUUAAGGAUGAACAUGGCAAUGUGGACAAGAGCAUUGUCAUAGGCUAUGGUCAGAACUGGAUCACUCUAAAUCAGAGUUACUUAGACAUUGUAUUCUACUUUCAGACAUAUGAUAUGAUGAAAAAUCAAGAAGUUCAAUGUACAGGUAUGUCAUUAUUAUUAUUACUAUUAUUAUUAUUAUUAUUAUUACUGUUAUUAGUGGGCCAAGCAUCAAAGGUGUGUUGGCACCCUCUUGUUAUUCUACCUUUUCUUCUACUUCUACUUCUUCUACUUCUUCUGGCUAGGGCAGGGGUGGGCAAUCUUAUCUGGAACGGGCCGGUGUGGGUGCAGGUUUUCGUUCCAACCAAGCAGAACCCACACCUGAAUCUAUUGAAAGCCAAGAUCAACUGAUUAAACAGGUGGAAUCAAGUGUGCCUCCUGCUUGGUUGGAAUGAAAACCUGCACCCACACCGGCCCUUUCCGGAUAAGAUUGCCCAACCCUGGGAUAGGAGUUUUCUGGGAGUUCAUAGAACUGUCUGGUAAAAAGUUGUGAAUUUGGGACACUGAUUGAGGAGGGUCGAAGGAACAUUCUGACCAAAUUUGGGUCAAAUGCUUUCAAUGCUCUAGCGCCACCAUCAUUGUCAAAUUACAGUCAUAACUUUUGAACCAUGUGUCCAAAUUUUGAAAGCCUGGUAUCCCUGGAUUCCCUGGGUCGAGACGGUGGAGAUGUAAAUUUCCAUCUAAUUAGAUUUUCUGCUAUGUUCGAUUUUUUUCUGUUGUUUUUUCACUACUCUUCAUACAAAUGUUGUCCAGUCAACACCAGAUUUGGCAAGCAUCAUGAUCAGACUAAGCCUCACAAAAGUUAUGAAAAGGAUUUUGAAUACUCCAAACAAUUUGCCCAUAAUGGGCCAACAAAUCUGACAGAAAAGCUGACAAACAGGAUGUGAGGCUGUAUAUCAGCAACGACUUUGCGCAUUGACACAAAAAAUGACCCAAAACCUUGUCUCAAAACAUUCAUGACCAUGAACAUGCAACAAAUGUCGUGACAGCGCCACCUACUAGUCAAAAGUUACAAUAACAAUGCUUCCAUGUAAGUGCCAUUUCUGCUCCUAAUUUUUUUUAUAUGUUGGUAAAUUGCUGAUGUAUAAGAGAAAUAUAAUGCAUGGUGAUGUGAUGUUAAAAGAAAAUAAUCAACUUUGGGGUGGUAAAUGUAACUCCGCUUACACACACACACGUUUUAUUAUUUAAUCAUGCAGUUUUCACCUACGUAGAUUUGUUUAGAAAUCGUUAAAUGCUUUAAAGAUCCAUCUCUGCAGUACAAUCCUCUUCCUUACAGCUUACAUGAACUUUGUACCAUCAGAAUAAAAUAUUUCUCUUUUCCAGCGUGUGUAAAAUGUUUUCUCACACCUGUUUUUCUUCCUGCAGAUUUGUGUGAACCGGGAUCAGCUAACCUUCCGAUUGGAGAGAAGCAUGAGACAAAUCAGCGUGAUGGAGGUGACGGAGGUUUGUAUCACACGCAGAUAAACUUUGUUAUUUCUUGCAGCAGAU